RNAcentral lists this ribosomal RNA (393 nucleotides) under uncultured bacterium. RNAcentral's name for it is "bacterial SSU rRNA". It matches the Rfam family "Bacterial small subunit ribosomal RNA", at positions 32 to 404 of the family's 1533-position model. The record is from RNAcentral.
AAUCAACGCUGGCGGCGUGCCUCAGACAUGCAAGUCGAACGCGAAAGUUCCCUUCGGGGAGCGAGUAGAGUGGCGCACGGGUGAGUAACACGUAGGUAAUUUACCUUCGGGUGGGGAAUAACAGCCGGAAACGGCUGCUAAUACCGCAUAAUGCAGCGGCUCGACAUCGAGACAGUUGUUAAAGCGGGGGAUCGCAAGACCUCGCGCCUGAAGAGAAGCCUGCGGCAGAUUAGCUAGUUGGUGGGGUAAUGGCUCACCAAGGCGACGAUCUGUAGCCGGCCUGAGAGGGCGGUCGGCCACACUGACACUGACAUACGGGUCAGACUCCUACGGGAGGCAGCAGUCGGGAAUUUUGGGCAAUGGGCGAAAGCCUGACCCAGCAACGCCGCGUGA